RNAcentral lists this ribosomal RNA (1254 nucleotides) under Salmonella enterica. Its description in RNAcentral is "partial 23S ribosomal RNA". It matches the Rfam family "Bacterial large subunit ribosomal RNA", at positions 1568 to 2803 of the family's 2925-position model. The record is from RNAcentral. Lineage: Bacteria; Pseudomonadati; Pseudomonadota; Gammaproteobacteria; Enterobacterales; Enterobacteriaceae.
GACGAGGCACUACGGUGCUGAAGCAACAAAUGCCCUGCUUCCAGGAAAAGCCUCUAAGCAUCAGGUAACAUCAAAUCGUACCCCAAACCGACACAGGUGGUCAGGUAGAGAAUACCAAGGCGCUUGAGAGAACUCGGGUGAAGGAACUAGGCAAAAUGGUGCCGUAACUUCGGGAGAAGGCACGCUGACACGUAGGUGAAGUGAUUUACUCAUGGAGCUGAAGUCAGUCGAAGAUACCAGCUGGCUGCAACUGUUUAUUAAAAACACAGCACUGUGCAAACACGAAAGUGGACGUAUACGGUGUGACGCCUGCCCGGUGCCGGAAGGUUAAUUGAUGGGGUCAGCGCAAGCGAAGCUCCUGAUCGAAGCCCCGGUAAACGGCGGCCGUAACUAUAACGGUCCUAAGGUAGCGAAAUUCCUUGUCGGGUAAGUUCCGACCUGCACGAAUGGCGUAAUGAUGGCCAGGCUGUCUCCACCCGAGACUCAGUGAAAUUGAACUCGCUGUGAAGAUGCAGUGUACCCGCGGCAAGACGGAAAGACCCCGUGAACCUUUACUAUAGCUUGACACUGAACAUUGAGCCUUGAUGUGUAGGAUAGGUGGGAGGCUUUGAAGUGUGGACGCCAGUCUGCAUGGAGCCAACCUUGAAAUACCACCCUUUAAUGUUUGAUGUUCUAACGUGGACCCGUAAUCCGGGUUGCGGACAGUGUCUGGUGGGUAGUUUGACUGGGGCGGUCUCCUCCUAAAGAGUAACGGAGGAGCACGAAGGUUGGCUAAUCCUGGUCGGACAUCAGGAGGUUAGUGCAAUGGCAUAAGCCAGCUUGACUGCGAGCGUGACGGCGCGAGCAGGUGCGAAAGCAGGUCAUAGUGAUCCGGUGGUUCUGAAUGGAAGGGCCAUCGCUCAACGGAUAAAAGGUACUCCGGGGAUAACAGGCUGAUACCGCCCAAGAGUUCAUAUCGACGGCGGUGUUUGGCACCUCGAUGUCGGCUCAUCACAUCCUGGGGCUGAAGUAGGUCCCAAGGGUAUGGCUGUUCGCCAUUUAAAGUGGUACGCGAGCUGGGUUUAGAACGUCGUGAGACAGUUCGGUCCCUAUCUGCCGUGGGCGCUGGAGAACUGAGGGGGGCUGCUCCUAGUACGAGAGGACCGGAGUGGACGCAUCACUGGUGUUCGGGUUGUCAUGCCAAUGGCACUGCCCGGUAGCUAAAUGCGGAAGAGAUAAGUGCUGAAAGCAUCUAAGCACGAAACUUGCCCCGAG